This 794-nucleotide ribosomal RNA is filed under the name Feramyces austinii. RNAcentral describes it as "eukaryotic LSU rRNA". It matches the Rfam family "Eukaryotic large subunit ribosomal RNA", at positions 11 to 654 of the family's 3401-position model. The record is from RNAcentral. Lineage: Eukaryota; Fungi; Neocallimastigomycota; Neocallimastigomycetes; Neocallimastigales; Neocallimastigaceae.
UCAGAUAAGAGUACCCGCUGAACUUAAGCAUAUCAAUAAGCGGAGGAAAAGAAACUAACAAGGAUUCCCUUAGUAACGGCGAGUGAAGCGGGAAGAGCUCAAAUUUGAAAUCUUCAAGGUUCUACCUUGACGAAUUGUAGUUUAAAGAAGUGUUUUCUGUUAGAGGAGUGGCAAAAGUUCUUUGGAAUAGGACAUCAUAGAGGGUGAGAAUCCCGUAUUUGGUCAUUCUUUCUAGCUGUGUGAUACACUUUCAAAGAGUCGGAUUGUUUGGGAAUGCAGUCCAAAAUGGGUGGUAAAUUUCAUCUAAAGCUAAAUAUUGGCGAGAGACCGAUAGCGAACAAGUACCGUGAGGGAAAGAUGAAAAGAACUUUGAAAAGAGAGUUAAACAGUACGUGAAAUUGUCAAAAGGGAAGCGUUUGACACCAGUGUUGUUUUUCCGAAAAUCAAUUGUGCCUGGCUGGAUUUUGUAGGAGUUUGACCUUAUCAGCUUCUUCUGCUUUUUUCCGGUCUGGUGCAAUGCACUUUUCGGUUAACAAGUCAACAUCAAUUUCUUUUGUUGUAAAAGGGUAAUUGGAAGGUGGCUUUCUUUUCGGAGAAAGUGUUUAUAGCCUUUUACCUCUACAAUCGGAGAGAUUGAGGUCUGCAGCGUAGAUCCUUCGGGGUUAGAUACAUUUGUGCUAAGUUAUAGCCCUGUAUAGACAACUUGUUGACUAUACUCGGUCAUGUAGCUUACUCGCUUAUGCUAUUUUACCUACGCUUAGGAUGUUGACAAAAUGGUUUUAAACGACCCGUCU